RNAcentral lists this ribosomal RNA (446 nucleotides) under uncultured bacterium. RNAcentral's name for it is "partial 16S ribosomal RNA". It matches the Rfam family "Bacterial small subunit ribosomal RNA", at positions 331 to 793 of the family's 1533-position model. The record is from RNAcentral.
CCAGACUCCUACGGGAGGCAGCAGUGGGGGAUAUUGCACAAUGGGGGAAACCCUGAUGCAGCGACACCGCGUGGGUGAAGAAGCGCUUCGGCGUGUAAAGCCCUAUCAGUGGGGAAGAAAAAGGACGGUACCCAAAGAAGAAGCACCGGCUAAAUACGUGCCAGCAGCCGCGGUAAUACGUAUGGUGCAAGCGUUAUCCGGAUUCACUGGGUGUAAAGGGAGCGUAGACGGCGACGCAAGUCUGGAGUGAAAGCCCGGGGCCCAACCCCGGGACUGCUCUGGAAACUGCGGCGCUGGAGUACGGGAGGGGCAGGCGGAAUUCCUGGUGUAGCGGUGAAAUGCGUAGAUAUCAGGAGGAACACCGGCGGCGAAGGCGGCCUGCUGGACCGUGACUGACGUUGAGGCUCGAGAGCGUGGGGAGCAAACAGGAUUAGAUACCCUUGUAC